This 452-nucleotide ribosomal RNA is filed under the name uncultured bacterium. Its description in RNAcentral is "bacterial SSU rRNA". It matches the Rfam family "Bacterial small subunit ribosomal RNA", at positions 340 to 784 of the family's 1533-position model. The record is from RNAcentral.
UACGGAAGGCAGCAGUGGGGAAUAUUGCACAAUGGGCGCAAGCCUGAUGCAGCCAUGCCGCGUGUAUGAAAAAGGCCUUCGGGUUGUAAAGUACUUUCAGUCGUGAGGAAGGUGUUAAGGUUAAUAACCUUAGCAAUUGACGUUAGCGACAGAAGAAGCACCGGCUAACUCCGUGCCAGCAGCCGCGGUAAUACGGAGGGUGCGAGCGUUAAUCGGAAUUACUGGGCGUAAAGGGCACGCAGGCGGUUAAUUAAGUUGGAUGUGAAAUCCCCGGGCUUAACCUGGGAAUGGCAUUCAAGACUGGUUAGCUAGAGUCUUGUAGAGGGGGUUAGAAUUCCAUGUGUAGCGGUGAAAUGCGUAGAGAUGUGGAGGAAUACCGGUGGCGAAGGCGGCCCCUGGACAAAGACUGACGCUCAUGUGCGAAAGCGUGGGGAGCAAAUAGGGAUUAGAUA